ACAGUACAAACUGAACAGACCAAGUCGAAGCUUUGAGUCGGGUCACAAUGUGACAGUGGAGUUUAAUACACCCACGGGACAGU
RNAcentral lists this non-coding RNA (83 nucleotides) under human gut metagenome. RNAcentral's name for it is "NiCo riboswitch". It matches the Rfam family "NiCo (Nickel/Cobalt) riboswitch aptamer". The record is from RNAcentral.